GACGAACGCUGGCGGCGUGCCUAAUACAUGCAAGUAGAACGCAGUUGCGAACGGGUGAGUAACGCGUAGGUAACUGCCUCAUAGCGGGGGAUAACUAUUGGAAACGAUAGCUAAUACCGCAUACUGUGAGAUGGACCUGCGUUGUAUUAGCUAGUUGGUGAGGUAAAGGCGCACCAAGGCGACGAUACAUAGCCGACCUGGGAGGGUGAGCGACCACACUGGGACUGGGACACGGCCCAGGUUCCUACGGGAGGGAGCAGUAGGGAAUCUGCGGCAAUGUACGGAAGUCUGACCGAGCAACGCCGCGGGAGUGAAGAAGUUUUUCGGACCAUAAAGCUCAAUUGGUAGAGAAGCGGUACCUAACCAGAAAGGAACGGCUAACUACGUGCCAGCAGCCGCGGUAAUUC
Molecule: ribosomal RNA, 407 nt
Filed under: uncultured bacterium
Lineage: Bacteria
Description: partial 16S ribosomal RNA
Rfam family: Bacterial small subunit ribosomal RNA
Source: RNAcentral